This 415-nucleotide ribosomal RNA is filed under the name Lacticaseibacillus rhamnosus. RNAcentral describes it as "bacterial SSU rRNA". It matches the Rfam family "Bacterial small subunit ribosomal RNA", at positions 379 to 786 of the family's 1533-position model. The record is from RNAcentral. Lineage: Bacteria; Bacillati; Bacillota; Bacilli; Lactobacillales; Lactobacillaceae.
CAGUCUGAUGGAGCAACGCCGCGUGAGUGAAGAAGGCUUUCGGGUCGUAAAACUCUGUUGUUGGAGAAGAAUGGUCGGCAGAGUAACUGUUGUCGGCGUGACGGUAUCCAACCAGAAAGCCACGGCUAACUACGUGCCAGCAGCCGCGGUAAUACGUAGGUGGCAAGCGUUAUCCGGAUUUAUUGGGCGUAAAGCGAGCGCAGGCGGUUUUUUAAGUCUGAUGUGAAAGCCCUCGGCUUAACCGAGGAAGUGCAUCGGAAACUGGGAAACUUGAGUGCAGAAGAGGACAGUGGAACUCCAUGUGUAGCGGUGAAAUGCGUAGAUAUAUGGAAGAACACCAGUGGCGAAGGCGGCUGUCUGGUCUGUAACUGACGCUGAGGCUCGAAAGCAUGGGUAGCGAACAGGAUUAGAUACC